UACGGAGGGUGCAAGCGUUAUCCGGAUUUACUGGGUUUAAAGGGUGUGUAGGCGGGCUGUUAAGUCAGUGGUGAAAUCUCCGGGCUCAACCCGGAAACUGCCGUUGAUACUAAUGGUCUUGAAUCUCGUUGAGGUAGGCGGAAUAUGUCAUGUAGCGGUGAAAUGCAUAGAUAUGACAUAGAACACCAAUUGCGAAGGCAGCUUACUAAGCGAGAAUUGACGCUGAGGCACGAAAGCGUGGGGAUCAAACAGG
RNAcentral lists this unclassified non-coding RNA (253 nucleotides) under uncultured Chitinophagales bacterium. Its description in RNAcentral is "contains 16S-23S intergenic spacer region". It matches the Rfam family "Bacterial small subunit ribosomal RNA", at positions 524 to 776 of the family's 1533-position model. The record is from RNAcentral. Lineage: Bacteria; Pseudomonadati; Bacteroidota; Chitinophagia; Chitinophagales.